UGUGGUAGUAGGGUCGAGAUGGAGGAGGCGGAGGUGGAGGCGGAGGAGGAUACCCAUCAUGGAAGUAGCCCUGGUACCCCGGUGGGGGUGGGGGAUAGGGCCCUUGCGGUGGGGGAGGGUAGACUCCUUGGGGUGGUGGAGGUCGUGGAUAAGGUUGAGAUCCAUAUGGUGGUGGAGGUGGGUAUGGUUGUGAGUAUCCUACAACCAAACCAAACAAUGGAUCCCAAUCAUCUUCAUACCAUCUUCAUCUCACCACGAUUUUGGUGAAAUCCAAGAAAAUUCAAGAAAGCAUAAUAAGAUUCAUUGAUAAUUAGAUAAAAAGGAGAGUAGUCUUUGCCUGGUGGAGGUGGAGGUGGGUAUGGUUGUGAGUAUCCUGCAACCAAACCAACCAACAGAUCCCAAUCAUCUUCAUACCAUCUUCAUCUCACCACCAUACAGUGAAAUCCAAGAAAGCAUAACAAAAUUCAUUGAUAAUUAGAUAAAAUAGAGAGCAGUUUUUGCCUG
Molecule: long non-coding RNA, 504 nt
Filed under: Elaeis guineensis (African oil palm)
Lineage: Eukaryota; Viridiplantae; Streptophyta; Magnoliopsida; Arecales; Arecaceae
Description: long non-coding RNA (EGUI_LNC034014)
Source: RNAcentral